This 745-nucleotide ribosomal RNA is filed under the name uncultured bacterium. RNAcentral describes it as "bacterial SSU rRNA". It matches the Rfam family "Bacterial small subunit ribosomal RNA", at positions 8 to 796 of the family's 1533-position model. The record is from RNAcentral.
AGAGUUUGAUCCUGGCUCAGAGCGAACGCUGGCGGCAGGCUUAACACAUGCAAGUCGAGCGGGCGUAGCAAUACGUCAGCGGCAGACGGGGUGAGUAACGCGUGGGAACAUACCUUUUGGUUCGGAACAACCCAGGGAAACUUGGGCUAAUACCGGAUAAGCCCUUACGGGGAAAGAUUUAUCGCCGAAAGAUUGGCCCGCGUCUGAUUAGCUAGUUGGUGAGGUAACGGCUCACCAAGGCGACGAUCAGUAGCUGGUCUGAGAGGAUGAUCAGCCACAUUGGGACUGAGACACGGCCCAAACUCCUACGGGAGGCAGCAGUGGGGAAUAUUGGACAAUGGGGGCAACCCUGAUCCAGCCAUGCCGCGUGAGUGAUGAAGGCCCUAGGGUUGUAAAGCUCUUUUGUGCGGGAAGAUAAUGACGGUACCGCAAGAAUAAGCCCCGGCUAACUUCGUGCCAGCAGCCGCGGUAAUACGAAGGGGGCUAGCGUUGCUCGGAAUCACUGGGCGUAAAGGGUGCGUAGGCGGGUCUUUAAGUCAGGGGUGAAAUCCUGGAGCUCAACUCCAGAACUGCCUUUGAUACUGAGGAUCUUGAGUCCGGGAGAGGUGAGUGGAACUGCGAGUGUAGAGGUGAAAUUCGUAGAUAUUCGCAAGAACACCAGUGGCGAAGGCGGCUCACUGGCCCGGUACUGACGCUGAGGCACGAAAGCGUGGGGAGCAAACAGGAUUAGAUACCCUAGUAGUCC